ACGCACUUAAUCAUGUUUUCAUGGUUCUAAUCUGCCCUUAAUUAUUAUGACAAAAAUUCAAGGAGAUUUGGACAACAGAAAAGUGAUAGAUAAAGCCAUCCACUUUCCACAAUAUUGUUCGUACAUGAACGACAAAACACAUUACGGAUUGUGAAUAAUUCACAUUUAUUCAAUAAUAUUUUUACAUAAAAUAAAUAUUAUAUAUCUUAUUGAAAUGUAGAACUACCGAAUAAUUAUCAAAUUCAUAUUAAUCAAUAGAUUUAUUGGUAGUUGCUACAAUUUUGAUGAGAAGAAUCGAAGCUAGGGUUGUGCCAGGCGAGCAGCCGCAGCCAGGGCAUCAUGGCAGCACCUUGGGUCGAAAUUGAACUCAUGAUCGCAGCAUCGGGGCAGACCAUAUGCGUGGCUACCUUUCAACAAAGCCAUGGCAACCAUGACUAGUAAAGCCAAGAAAACCAUCUUCUUCAUAACCAAUCCUUCCAUUUUGACGCUCCUAAUUCAGUAUUUGUUUUUCACUCUCUCUUCUUCCUU
RNAcentral lists this long non-coding RNA (528 nucleotides) under Olea europaea (common olive). Its description in RNAcentral is "long non-coding RNA (OEUR_LNC000649)". The record is from RNAcentral. Lineage: Eukaryota; Viridiplantae; Streptophyta; Magnoliopsida; Lamiales; Oleaceae.